AUUGAACGCUGGCGGCCGGCCUAACACCUGCAAGUCGAACAAGUGGCGGACGGGUGAGUACUGUCUGGGAACCUGCCUGAAGGCGGGGGCUCACUACUGGAACCGGUAGCUAAUACCGCAUACCAUCAGAUGUGCCACGAUGGGAUUAGCUAGUUGGUGGGGUAUCGGGUCACCAAGGCGCCGAGCCAUCGCUGGUCUGAGAGGAUGACAAGCCAUACUGGAACUGAGAAACGGUCCAGACUCCGACGGUAGUCAGCAGUGGGGAAUAUUGCAAAAUGGGCGCAAGCAUGAUGCAGCCAUGCCGCGUGUAUGAAGAAGGCCUUCGGGUUGUAAAGUACGUUCAGCGGGGAGGCGUUACCCGCAGAAGAAGCACCGGCUAACUACGUGCCAGCAGCAGCGGUAAUAC
Molecule: ribosomal RNA, 406 nt
Filed under: uncultured bacterium
Lineage: Bacteria
Description: partial 16S ribosomal RNA
Rfam family: Bacterial small subunit ribosomal RNA
Source: RNAcentral